ACUGAUACUGAAUCAGGAAGACAGAACAGUUGUUAGAAAACUAAACUGCCAGAGAAGGGUUCAGUGCCUAACCUCUGAAACAACUUUGUUCUUCUAGCUUGGUGGAACCGUGGGGGACAUAGAAAGCAUGCCCUUUAUUGAGGCCUUCCGUCAGUUCCAAUUCAAGGUCAAAAGAGAGAACUUUUGUAACAUCCACGUCAGUCUAGUUCCCCAGCCAAGUUCAACAGGGGAACAGAAGACUAAACCCACCCAGAAUAGUGUUCGGGAACUUAGAGGACUUGGGCUUUCCCCAGAUCUGGUUGUAUGCAGGUGCUCAAAUCCACUUGACACAUCAGUGAAGGAGAAAAUAUCAAUGUUCUGCCAUGUUGAGCCUGAACAAGUGAUCUGUGUCCACGAUGUCUCAUCCAUCUACCGAGUCCCCUUGUUGUUAGAGGAGCAAGGGGUUGUAGAUUAUUUUCUUCGAAGACUUGACCUUCCUAUUGAGAGGCAGCCAAGGAAAAUGCUGAUGAAAUGGAAAGAGAUGGCUGACAGAUAUGAUCGCUUGCUGGAGACCUGCUCUAUUGCCCUUGUGGGCAAAUACACGAAGUUCUCAGACUCCUAUGCCUCUGUCAUUAAGGCUCUGGAGCAUUCUGCACUGGCCAUCAACCACAAAUUGGAAAUCAAGUACAUAGAUUCUGCGGACUUGGAGCCCAUCACCUCGCAAGAAGAGCCCGUGCGCUACCACGAAGCUUGGCAGAAGCUCUGUAGUGC
Molecule: small RNA, 750 nt
Filed under: Pan troglodytes (chimpanzee)
Lineage: Eukaryota; Metazoa; Chordata; Mammalia; Primates; Hominidae
Description: processed transcript
Source: RNAcentral